Molecule: ribosomal RNA, 254 nt
Filed under: uncultured bacterium
Lineage: Bacteria
Description: partial 16S ribosomal RNA
Rfam family: Bacterial small subunit ribosomal RNA
Source: RNAcentral
UACGUAGGGUGCGAGCGUUGUCCGGAAUUAUUGGGCGUAAAGGGCUCGUAGGCGGUUUGUCACGUCGGGAGUGAAAACUCGGGGCUUAACCCCGAGCCUGCUUCCGAUACGGGCAGACUAGAGGUAUGCAGGGGAGAACGGAAUUCCUGGUGUAGCGGUGAAAUGCGCAGAUACUCAGGAGGAACACCGGUGGCGAAGGCGGUUCUCUGGGCCGUAACUGACGCUGAGGAGCGAAAGCGUGGGGAGCGAACAGG